This 832-nucleotide ribosomal RNA is filed under the name Pseudomonas fluorescens. Its description in RNAcentral is "bacterial SSU rRNA". It matches the Rfam family "Bacterial small subunit ribosomal RNA", at positions 47 to 874 of the family's 1533-position model. The record is from RNAcentral. Lineage: Bacteria; Pseudomonadati; Pseudomonadota; Gammaproteobacteria; Pseudomonadales; Pseudomonadaceae.
CCUAACACAUGCAAGUCGAGCGGUAGAGAGAAGCUUGCUUCUCUUGAGAGCGGCGGACGGGUGAGUAAUGCCUAGGAAUCUGCCUGGUAGUGGGGGAUAACGUUCGGAAACGGACGCUAAUACCGCAUACGUCCUACGGGAGAAAGCAGGGGACCUUCGGGCCUUGCGCUAUCAGAUGAGCCUAGGUCGGAUUAGCUAGUUGGUGGGGUAAUGGCUCACCAAGGCGACGAUCCGUAACUGGUCUGAGAGGAUGAUCAGUCACACUGGAACUGAGACACGGUCCAGACUCCUACGGGAGGCAGCAGUGGGGAAUAUUGGACAAUGGGCGAAAGCCUGAUCCAGCCAUGCCGCGUGUGUGAAGAAGGUCUUCGGAUUGUAAAGCACUUUAAGUUGGGAGGAAGGGCAGUUGCCUAAUACGUAACUGUUUUGACGUUACCGACAGAAUAAGCACCGGCUAACUCUGUGCCAGCAGCCGCGGUAAUACAGAGGGUGCAAGCGUUAAUCGGAAUUACUGGGCGUAAAGCGCGCGUAGGUGGUUUGUUAAGUUGGAUGUGAAAUCCCCGGGCUCAACCUGGGAACUGCAUUCAAAACUGACUGACUAGAGUAUGGUAGAGGGUGGUGGAAUUUCCUGUGUAGCGGUGAAAUGCGUAGAUAUAGGAAGGAACACCAGUGGCGAAGGCGACCACCUGGACUAAUACUGACACUGAGGUGCGAAAGCGUGGGGAGCAAACAGGAUUAGAUACCCUGGUAGUCCACGCCGUAAACGAUGUCAACUAGCCGUUGGAAGCCUUGAGCUUUUAGUGGCGCAGCUAACGCAUUAAGUUGACCGCCU